Molecule: small RNA, 180 nt
Filed under: Streptomyces pluripotens
Lineage: Bacteria; Bacillati; Actinomycetota; Actinomycetes; Kitasatosporales; Streptomycetaceae
Description: c-di-AMP sequence
Rfam family: c-di-AMP riboswitch aptamer (ydaO/yuaA leader)
About the family: This family represents a conserved RNA structure found upstream of the ydaO and yuaA genes in Bacillus subtilis and related genes in other bacteria.
Source: Rfam by way of RNAcentral
GACGCGUAAGCGCCGCAGGCAGGAGCGGGGGACCCAAGGUAAGUGCCGAUGCCAGCAGUUGAGCUGGAAUCGGCUUGGGGUGAAGCCGCAUCGCACGUAGAGCAAGACGUGGGAUGCGGCCGGGCAGCCCAACCGGCCCGAACCCGACAGCUCACCUCGCAGGCGUCGGUGAGGGGAUCG